This 22-nucleotide microRNA is filed under the name Mus musculus (house mouse). RNAcentral's name for it is "microRNA miRNA276". Lineage: Eukaryota; Metazoa; Chordata; Mammalia; Rodentia; Muridae. The record is from RNAcentral.
AAGUGCUUCCAUGUUUGAGUGU